RNAcentral lists this ribosomal RNA (1525 nucleotides) under Mycolicibacterium sp. CBMA 294. RNAcentral's name for it is "bacterial SSU rRNA". It matches the Rfam family "Bacterial small subunit ribosomal RNA". RNAcentral also lists the same sequence under 5 other names. Lineage: Bacteria; Bacillati; Actinomycetota; Actinomycetes; Mycobacteriales; Mycobacteriaceae. The record is from RNAcentral.
UUGUUUGGAGAGUUUGAUUCUGGCUCAGGACGAACGCUGGCGGCGUGCUUAACACAUGCAAGUCGAACGGAAAGGCCCUUCGGGGUACUCGAGUGGCGAACGGGUGAGUAACACGUGGGUGAUCUGCCCUGCACUUUGGGAUAAGCCUGGGAAACUGGGUCUAAUACCGAAUAUGACCACGCACUUCCUGGUGUGUGGUGGAAAGCUUUUGCGGUGUGGGAUGGGCCCGCGGCCUAUCAGCUUGUUGGUGGGGUAAUGGCCUACCAAGGCGACGACGGGUAGCCGGCCUGAGAGGGUGACCGGCCACACUGGGACUGAGAUACGGCCCAGACUCCUACGGGAGGCAGCAGUGGGGAAUAUUGCACAAUGGGCGCAAGCCUGAUGCAGCGACGCCGCGUGAGGGAUGACGGCCUUCGGGUUGUAAACCUCUUUCAAUAGGGACGAAGCGCAAGUGACGGUACCUAUAGAAGAAGGACCGGCCAACUACGUGCCAGCAGCCGCGGUAAUACGUAGGGUCCGAGCGUUGUCCGGAAUUACUGGGCGUAAAGAGCUCGUAGGUGGUUUGUCGCGUUGUUCGUGAAAACUCACAGCUUAACUGUGGGCGUGCGGGCGAUACGGGCAGACUAGAGUACUGCAGGGGAGACUGGAAUUCCUGGUGUAGCGGUGGAAUGCGCAGAUAUCAGGAGGAACACCGGUGGCGAAGGCGGGUCUCUGGGCAGUAACUGACGCUGAGGAGCGAAAGCGUGGGGAGCGAACAGGAUUAGAUACCCUGGUAGUCCACGCCGUAAACGGUGGGUACUAGGUGUGGGUUUCCUUCCUUGGGAUCCGUGCCGUAGCUAACGCAUUAAGUACCCCGCCUGGGGAGUACGGCCGCAAGGCUAAAACUCAAAGAAAUUGACGGGGGCCCGCACAAGCGGCGGAGCAUGUGGAUUAAUUCGAUGCAACGCGAAGAACCUUACCUGGGUUUGACAUGCACAGGACGCCAGUAGAGAUAUUGGUUCCCUUGUGGCCUGUGUGCAGGUGGUGCAUGGCUGUCGUCAGCUCGUGUCGUGAGAUGUUGGGUUAAGUCCCGCAACGAGCGCAACCCUUGUCUCAUGUUGCCAGCACGUAAUGGUGGGGACUCGUGAGAGACUGCCGGGGUCAACUCGGAGGAAGGUGGGGAUGACGUCAAGUCAUCAUGCCCCUUAUGUCCAGGGCUUCACACAUGCUACAAUGGCCGGUACAAAGGGCUGCGAUGCCGUGAGGUGGAGCGAAUCCUUUCAAAGCCGGUCUCAGUUCGGAUCGGGGUCUGCAACUCGACCCCGUGAAGUCGGAGUCGCUAGUAAUCGCAGAUCAGCAACGCUGCGGUGAAUACGUUCCCGGGCCUUGUACACACCGCCCGUCACGUCAUGAAAGUCGGUAACACCCGAAGCCGGUGGCCUAACCCCUUGUGGGAGGGAGCCGUCGAAGGUGGGAUCGGCGAUUGGGACGAAGUCGUAACAAGGUAGCCGUACCGGAAGGUGCGGCUGGAUCACCUCCUUUCUAA